This 143-nucleotide unclassified non-coding RNA is filed under the name uncultured fungus. RNAcentral's name for it is "sequence contains ITS1". Lineage: Eukaryota; Fungi. The record is from RNAcentral.
UUGAAAAGCUUUGGCUUACUCUUUGAUGGUUUUUAAACCCCCACUAGCAAAAAACUAUUAAUUUAGAUUUGCUAGUGGAUUUUAUUACAAAACUCUUUGUACUAAGCUGUGUCUGUCUGAAAAUAAAGUUUUUAAUGCUUUUA